Molecule: ribosomal RNA, 251 nt
Filed under: uncultured soil bacterium
Lineage: Bacteria
Description: partial 16S ribosomal RNA
Rfam family: Bacterial small subunit ribosomal RNA
Source: RNAcentral
AGGACGAACGCUGGCGGCGUGCUUAACACAUGCAAGUCAAGGGGACCCGCAAGGGUAACCGGCGAACGGGUGCGUAACACGUGAGCAACCUACCGAAAUCUGGAGGAUAGCCGGCCCAACGGCCGGGUAAUACCGCAUACGCUCUUUCCACGGCAUUGUGGAUUGAGGAAACCUCCGGGGGAUUUCGAGGGGCUCGCGGCCUAUCAGCUAGUUGGCGAGGUCACGGCUCACCAAGGCGACGACGGGUAGCU